ACGGGUGCGGAACACGUACGCAACCUUCCUUUAAGUGAGGGAUAGCUUUCGGAAACGAAAAUUAAUACCUCGUAAAAUCGUGGUGUGGCAUCACACUAUGAUUAAAGCUCCGGCGCUUAAAGAUGGGCGUGCGCCUGAUUAGGUAGUUGGCGGGGUAACAGCCCACCAAGCCUACGAUCAGUAACUGGUGUGAGAGCACGACCAGUCACACGGGCACUGAGACACGGGCCCGACUCCUACGGGAGGCAGCAGUAAGGAAUAUUGGUCAAUGGACGCAAGUCUGAACCAGCCAUGCCGCGUGGAGGAUGAAGGUCCUCUGGAUUGUAAACUUCUUUUAUCGGAGAAGAAACCCCAACAUUCUUGUUGGGUUGACGGUACCCGAUGAAUAAGCACCGGCUAACUCCGUGCCAGCAGCCGCGGUAAUACGGAGGGUGCAAGCGUUAUCCGGAUUCACUGGGUUUAAAGGGAGCGUAGGUGGGCUGGUAAGUCAGUGGUGAAAUCUCCGGGCUUAACUCGGAAACUGCCGUUGAUACUAUCAGUCUUGAAUAUUGUGGAGGUAAGCGGAAUAUGUCAUGUAGCGGU
This 582-nucleotide ribosomal RNA is filed under the name uncultured bacterium. Its description in RNAcentral is "bacterial SSU rRNA". It matches the Rfam family "Bacterial small subunit ribosomal RNA", at positions 102 to 682 of the family's 1533-position model. The record is from RNAcentral.